GUACUAGCUUUGGCAGCACAUAUACUAAAUUGGAAUGAUACAGAAAAGAUUAGCAUGGCCCCUGUACAAGGAUGGCAUGGAAAUUUGUAAAACAUUGUUGGUCAAAGGUUUU
This is a small nuclear RNA of Microtus ochrogaster (prairie vole), 112 nucleotides long. The record is from Ensembl. Lineage: Eukaryota; Metazoa; Chordata; Mammalia; Rodentia; Cricetidae.